This is a long non-coding RNA of Carassius gibelio (silver crucian carp), 2185 nucleotides long. RefSeq lists it as uncharacterized. Lineage: Eukaryota; Metazoa; Chordata; Actinopteri; Cypriniformes; Cyprinidae. The record is from RefSeq and is a predicted model, not a curated record. The transcript has 3 exons.
ACACAUGAUUCUGUUGAGUUUAUGAAGGCAACGGCCAAUCAGAAGUGUUCAGAUGAGUCAUCGCUGGAACACCAGCAUCAUGGCUUCUCUCAUCCAGAGAUAUGGACGUCUCUGAGAUGCAUGUGUGCUAGCAAUAAUAAUAACCCGCAGAUGUAAAGCUGACAGCAGGAGACAGAGGCUGUGGGCUAAAGGUCACACGGUUCUGCUGAACGCCUCGCGCACAUUUCUCCCAGAAGCGAAAGUGAAACGGAGGCUUUAAAGCUUCGGUGUAUCUGUGCUCGUCCCGAAGCCUCGGCGUCCUCCAGGAGCUCGGAGAAACCGCUCUUCUUCCGUUAAUAAGACUCCACGGUGGACUGAUCCUCAGAGGGAGCAGUGUAUUGUGGGAAACCUGCUGACCUGAAGAAGUGUCUCUCUCAAGAUACGACGUUCAUCAACGCUCUUCAUCACAGGACUGCUUCAUCGGUUUACCAGCACACGUCUGAUCUGUAGUGGUGUUGUUUCUCAGCACUUGUCACUUGUUUAAUGUGUUUUCUUCCAUAUGAAGGGAUUCAGCUGUAACGUUUUUUACUCUCUUGCCUGAACGAAGAAAAAUAAACUACAUUCCUCACUGAAUAAUGCCCGGGAUUGUCUGAAUUUCACUAUAACAGGAAUGUUUUCACUAUAACUUUCUUCGACGGAGGAAGAGUGAUGUGAAUGUUCAGGGUGAAAUGAAUGAAGCACAAUCUCUGUAUCAGUUCCAAACUCAUACGCUCGUCUUUCUUCUGUGGAACAAGGAAAACCUGUUGAAGAAUCAAGACAUUGAUAGUCAGUGCGGUCUAAAGUUUCAAGCACCAAAAAGAGCAUAAAUGUGGCGUAGAAGUGAUCGUUCUACUCCAGCGCACACAGGAUCACUUUACACAACAAACACAGGGAAAUAUAAUCGCUCAACUACAUCAGAUCAGCUCGUGUUUACACACCCUUCGGAAAAAGAGCACUUAAAUGAUAUUCUUACAUUACAUAUUUCAUGAAGAACCCAAAGAAUGUUGUGGAAAACUUGUGGGAAAUGGGAAUCCGAUGUUCCCUUCAAGUGUGAACCGAAUAUAACAUUUCAGAUACUUAAGAUUAAAUGCUAUUAGUUGAGUUUAAAGAAUGGUUUUGGCUUGCUUGAAUAAGUACAUCUUGUAAUUUCAUAAUUACUUCUGGUGUCUUUGAGAUAUGGUUAAAGAACUGCUGAAUGUACUGACAAGCAUUUCUGGUCAAUAUACUCCCAGGUGACUGGUUUAUCAGUGUUAUUGAGGACAUUCAUGGUGUUAUUAAUAAUGCCUUCAUAUUUCAUCCUGAUGAACAGACUUCAGCUCUUCCUCUCCCAAUGAACGCCAGUUUACCAAACCUUGAUCGAUAUCACUUAGACCAGAGCAGAACCUGAUGGAGUUUGGUUAGCGUGUCACCUUUGGUUCAUUAGCUGAGAUCUGAAAGUUACAUAACGACUGAAAUCUGUGGAUAAGAGCACACUUGACGUGAGUCCAGAUUAACUGAGGUCUUCCACAGCUCUCCACAUCAACACUCGCUCAUCUACAGAUGAAUCUGAAUCAUGAUCCUUCUUUCUGUCCAUCAGUGAAUCAGUGUUUAAUAAACGCUGUAGAAAUAAAGGUGACUUUGAUGUUAUUUGUGUUCAAACGUAAACAUCACGUGUUUAAAUGUGUUAUGUGAUUUGUGUUUAUGUGUUUAUAUUAUAUUGAAAUGUAAUAUUGUGUUACAGUAACUGAUCUAAUCAAGUGCUUAGUUUGUUUGUCAACACAUCAGAAUAAUUGUACUUCUUAAAAGCACAACACAAGAUUAUUAAUGAUAUCAAAAGUACUUUAAUUCAAAAGUUUAAAGUGCACUUAUUACGUGUACAUUAAUUUGAGUUCAAUAAGUGGCCUCUAGUUUCAUUAAUAGUAUUAUUUUAAAGAUAUGAAGCACAUGGCACCCAAGGUGAGGACAGAUCCAAUAUGGCCACGUGCCGGUAACAUCAAGCCUGAUUGGUUCUUGCGAGUCACAUGAUUUACUGUCACUGCAGAAGAUUGAACCAUUAGAGUUACAUAGAUUACUUUACAAUCACUUCAUGUCCUUUGGGACGCCAGCAGCUAAACACAGCUGAGAUAUUUUAUUUCGUGUUGCUCUGAUGUGUGUAGAUGAUGACAAGCUUGUCCUUUUGGGUGAACUA